Molecule: ribosomal RNA, 253 nt
Filed under: uncultured bacterium
Lineage: Bacteria
Description: partial 16S ribosomal RNA
Rfam family: Bacterial small subunit ribosomal RNA
Source: RNAcentral
UACGUAGGGUGCAAGCGUUGUCCGGAAUUAUUGGGCGUAAAGAGCUCGUAGGCGGUCUGUCGCGUCUGCUGUGAAAACCCGAAGCUCAACUUCGGGCCUGCAUCCGAAACUGCCCGACUAGAGGUAGGUAGGGGAGAUCGGAAUUCCUGGUGUAGCGGUGAAAUGCGCAGAUAUCAGGAGGAACACCGGUGGCGAAGGCGGAUCUCUGGGCCUUACCUGACGCUCAGGUGCGAAAGCUAGGGGAGCGAACAGG